AAUUAGGAAGCUGCCCUUCUUCAUGUACUUCAAGGUGAGCACUUUAGAAUUUUUUCCCCAAUGUUCUAGACUGUGGUUUUGGCACAUUAUUGAAAGUUUAUGACAAUGUGUUCCGAUGGAGAGAGAGAAUGGUUAGAAUCUUCUUUUCAUGAAUGUAGUCUGCUAAGAAAGUAAGGAGUGUUUUACCUCGCAUGUUAAGGUGGUUGAUGGCUUCCUUCCCAUGGAGACUGUUGAGAAAAAGCUGAGAGAACUUGCUAGGAGCUGCAUUUAGGUCCCCACUUUAGAAGUUUAUUAACUGCUGGUGUCCUGAUUAUGUAAUGUGAAAUAUGUGAGGCUACAAAACACUUACAUUUCUAGACUACACAUAUCUACAAAUGUUGUUGAGGGUGAACACUGCAUUAGUUAUUGGCCAUUACUCUCUCAACUUCAAAGUUCAGACCUACUGCUUUUCCUCGGCAGUAUAGUACUUCCUUCUCUGUAACAAACUAAUAGCUACCGAUUUUUAUAGGGCUAACAUGUCUUUGUUUUCUUUGUGGUCGUAUCUUUGAAACAGGUAGGACGGCUGCUAAUUUAGUUGACAAAGAAGUUUAUUAAAUAAUAAGCUUGGUAAGCUUUUCCCUGUACAAAACAUAAUCACAUAUUAUUUUAGCUUGUGCCUAAUGCUUAUUAGAUAGCUUGUUUAGUUAGAGAGUUUGUAGAUUUCCCUUUCACUUAAGUGACUAGAACAUCUCU
Molecule: long non-coding RNA, 732 nt
Filed under: Sorghum bicolor (sorghum)
Lineage: Eukaryota; Viridiplantae; Streptophyta; Magnoliopsida; Poales; Poaceae
Description: long non-coding RNA (SBIC_LNC003153)
Source: RNAcentral